RNAcentral lists this ribosomal RNA (261 nucleotides) under uncultured bacterium. RNAcentral describes it as "partial small subunit ribosomal RNA". It matches the Rfam family "Bacterial small subunit ribosomal RNA", at positions 26 to 285 of the family's 1533-position model. The record is from RNAcentral.
AGAAUCAACGCUGGCGGCGUGCCUAACACAUGCAAGUCGAACGAGAAAGUGGAGCAAUCCAUGAGUAAAGUGGCGACCGGGUGAGCAACACGUGACUAACCUACCCUCGAGUGGGGAAUAACUACCGGGAACCGGGGCUAAUACCGCAUAACAUCUUCGGAACGCGAGUUCUGUUGAUCAAAGGAGCAAUUCGCUCGAGGGAGGGGUCGCGGCCGAUUAGUUAGUUGGCGGGGUAAUGGCCCACCAAGACGAUGAUCGGUA